UGCAAAUGAUGUUUUCUCACGAUGGUCUGCAGACUCUACAAUGGUGAUACUGCCACAUGGCACUAGCUGAUGCAGUUAU
Asterias rubens (European starfish) is the source of this 79-nucleotide small nucleolar RNA. RefSeq annotates it as small nucleolar RNA SNORD35. The record is from RefSeq and is a predicted model, not a curated record. The transcript has a single exon. Lineage: Eukaryota; Metazoa; Echinodermata; Asteroidea; Forcipulatida; Asteriidae.